GGGAGAGAGAGCUACCUGUAGGUCUGACUGUAGGUCUGACUGGAGGGAGAGAGAGAGCUACCUGUAGGUCUACCUGUAGGUCUGACUGGAGGGAGAGAGAGAGCUACCUGUAGGUCUGACUGGAGGGAGAGAGAGAGCUACCUGUAGGUCUGACUGGAGGGAGAGAGAGCUACCUGUAGGUCUGACUGUAGGUCUGACUGGAGGGAGAGAGAGAGCUACCUGUAGGUCUACCUGUAGGUCUGACUGGAGGGAGAGAGAGCUACCUGUAGGUCUACCUGUAGGUCUGACUGGAGGGAGAGAGAGCUACCUGUAGGUCUACCUGUAGGUCUGACUGGAGGGAGAGAGAGCUACCUGUAGGUCUGACUGUAGGUCUGACUGGAGGGAGAGAGAGAGCUACCUGUAGGUCUACCUGUAGGUCUGACUGGAGGGAGAGAGAGCUACCUGUAGGUCUGACUGUAGGGAGAGAGAGCUACCUGUAGGUCUACCUGUAGGUCUGACUGGAGGGAGAGAGAGAGCUACCUGUAGGUCUACCUGUAGGUCUACCUGUAGGUCUGACUGGAGGGAGAAGCAGCUAGGAAGAGUUUAUAAACUACUUCAAAGUUUAUAAACCAGAAACUUCACCCAGCGCACGUUACCGGAGGAAUCUGAUCAGAAAUCGGCGACAAAUGAUGAACAUCUGCGGUCCAGAUCCAGGUUCUCCUGACGGUUUCUCUCAGAUCCAUCUGUGAGAACUGACUGACAGAAUCAUCCCAGAGGAGAGCAGACAGCUGCUACAUGCUACCGCUAUGAGACGGUGUGUAACCACAGCGACCAUCAGGGUGGAAAAUAGAAGAUGUGAAACAGUAGUCAGUUCAUUAUUUCUGCUAAAAGACACCUGAUAAAUGUAUGGAAGAUCAGAGUAAUGGUUUAUUAGUUACUGUA
Long non-coding RNA from Sebastes umbrosus (honeycomb rockfish), 921 nucleotides. RefSeq lists it as uncharacterized. The transcript has 4 exons. Lineage: Eukaryota; Metazoa; Chordata; Actinopteri; Perciformes; Sebastidae. The record is from RefSeq and is a predicted model, not a curated record.